RNAcentral lists this ribosomal RNA (460 nucleotides) under uncultured bacterium. RNAcentral's name for it is "partial 16S ribosomal RNA". It matches the Rfam family "Bacterial small subunit ribosomal RNA", at positions 338 to 795 of the family's 1533-position model. The record is from RNAcentral.
CCUACGGGGGGCAGCAGUGAGGAAUAUUGGUCAAUGGACGAGAGUCUGAACCAGCCAAGUAGCGUGAAGGAUGACUGCCCUAUGGGUUGUAAACUUCUUUUAUAUGGGAAUAAAACGUUCCACGUGUGGGAUUUUGUAUGUACCAUAUGAAUAAGGAUCGGCUAACUCCGUGCCAGCAGCCGCGGUAAUACGGAGGAUCCGAGCGUUAUCCGGAUUUAUUGGGUUUAAAGGGGGCGUAGGUGGAUUGUUAAGUCAGUUGUGAAAGUUUGCGGCUCAACCGUAAAAUUGCAGUUGAAACUGGCAGUCUUGAGUACAGUAGAGGUGGGCGGAAUUCGUGGUGUAGCGGUGAAAUGCUUAGAUAUCACGAAGAACUCCGAUUGCGAAGGCAGUUCACUGGACUGCAACUGACACUGAGGCUCGAAAGUGUGGGUAUCAAACAGGAUUAGAUACCCUAGUAGUC